Xylariomycetidae sp. FL2044 is the source of this 79-nucleotide non-coding RNA. The record is from the annotation of a GenBank genome assembly. Lineage: Eukaryota; Fungi; Ascomycota; Sordariomycetes.
UCUCUGUUAGUCUAGUGGUUAGGAUACCUGCUUGUCAAACAACUCGCAGGUGACCGGGGUUCAAUUCCCCGACAGAGAG